Molecule: long non-coding RNA, 285 nt
Organism: Lutra lutra (Eurasian river otter)
Lineage: Eukaryota; Metazoa; Chordata; Mammalia; Carnivora; Mustelidae
Exons: 4
Source: RefSeq, a predicted model, not a curated record
GGCUGUCUUUUCAUUGGGGGAUAUCACAGCUACUGGAAGCCUUGGUGCAAUUCUGAAAUGAAAUGGCAACUGCAGCUGAAGUCACAUUGAAGACAUUCUCACUCAUAUGUAUGGAGGUUGAUGCUGGCUGUCAGCAGAAUGGUGGUGUUGUCACCCAAAACAUGUACAGGAGGCCCAUCUACAUGAUACCAGAUGCUGCUCAUUUCCUAUAAGUUCUCCUUCCCACAUAUCCUGGCUGUCAUGGUCAACAUAUCUUGAAAGAAGUUGCUGUGGCUGAUAUCGAAG